Molecule: ribosomal RNA, 488 nt
Filed under: uncultured bacterium
Lineage: Bacteria
Description: bacterial SSU rRNA
Rfam family: Bacterial small subunit ribosomal RNA
Source: RNAcentral
AUUGAACGCUGGCGGCGUGCUUAACACAUGCAAGUCGAGCGGCAGCGCGGGAGCAAUCCUGGCGGCGAGCGGCGAACGGGUGAGUAAUGCUUCGGAAUCUGCCCUUCAGUGGGGAAUAACCAGUCGAAAGACUGGCUAAUACCGCAUACGAACUGAGGUUGAAAGCAGGGGAUCGCAAGACCUUGCGCUGAUGGAUGAGCCGAAGUCGGAUUAGCUUGUUGGUGGGGUAAUGGCCUACCAAGGCGACGAUCCGUAGCUGGUCUGAGAGGACGACCAGCCACACUGGGACUGAGACACGGCCCAGACUCCUACGGGAGGCAGCAGUGGGGAAUAUUGGACAAUGGGGGCAACCCUGAUCCAGCGACGCCGCGUGUGUGAAGAAGGCCUGCGGGUUGUAAAGCACUUUUAGUGGGGAGGAAGGUCUGCGACCUAACACGUCGUGGAAUUGACUUAACCCACAGAAAAAGCACCGGCUAACUCUGUGCCAG